UAUACAAAACUAAACAAAGAGGUAAAGAGGAUGGCAAGAACCGACAAAAGAGAACAGCAAGAUAUUAUACAGUAAAUAUUUGUCAAAAGUGUUAUUCAAUUUACUCGUGCUUCUGUUGCUUAAAAUACAAACUAGCAUUGGUAAAAAAAAAUAAAAUAAAAAUAAGAUGCAGAAAUGAUAGAAAUACUGUACAUUGCAUGUAAUCAUGCAUGUGAUCCGACCAUACUAGUAAGCUUUAUAAGUCAACCGCACUAGAGAAAGAUUAUGUUUUGUUUUUACUGUCUGUGUUUCAUCUUUUGGUGCAUGAUGACUGUGACCGCUUCCUCAGUCUUCUUGGUCCGUGGUUGGAAACACCAGUUUCUUACUCAAGAUGCUGGGGCCAAGCGAGGUUACCGGAAAAGAGAAAAAAUUUAAUAAACUUUGAAGCUAA
Molecule: long non-coding RNA, 430 nt
Organism: Pomacea canaliculata
Lineage: Eukaryota; Metazoa; Mollusca; Gastropoda; Architaenioglossa; Ampullariidae
Exons: 2
Source: RefSeq, a predicted model, not a curated record